This 500-nucleotide ribosomal RNA is filed under the name uncultured bacterium. Its description in RNAcentral is "partial 16S ribosomal RNA". It matches the Rfam family "Bacterial small subunit ribosomal RNA", at positions 28 to 523 of the family's 1533-position model. The record is from RNAcentral.
GUUGAACGCUGGCGGCAUGCCUUACACAUGCAAGUCGAACGGCAGCACGGGAGCAAUCCUGGUGGCGAGUGGCGAACGGGUGAGUAAAGUAUCGGAACGUGCCCAGUCGUGGGGGAUAACGUAGCGAAAGUUACGCUAAUACCGCAUACGAUCUAUGGAUGAAAGCGGGGGAUGGCAAGACCUCGCGCGAUUGGAGCGGCCGAUAUCAGAUUAGGUAGUUGGUGGGGUAAAGGCUCACCAAGGCGACGAGCUGUAGCUGGUCUGAGAGGACGACCAGCCACACUGGGACUGAGACACGGCCCAGACUCCUACGGGAGGCAGCAGUGGGGAAUUUUGGACAAUGGGCGAAAGCCUGAUCCAGCCAUGCCGCGUGCAGGAUGAAGGCCUUCGGGUUGUAAACUGCUUUUGUACGGAGCGAAAAGGUUUGGGCUAAUAAGCUGAGCUCAUGACGGUACCGUAAGAAUAAGCACCGGCUAACUACGUGCCAGCCGCCGCCGUAA